RNAcentral lists this ribosomal RNA (253 nucleotides) under uncultured bacterium. RNAcentral's name for it is "partial 16S ribosomal RNA". It matches the Rfam family "Bacterial small subunit ribosomal RNA", at positions 524 to 776 of the family's 1533-position model. The record is from RNAcentral.
UACGGAGGGUGCAAGCGUUAUCCGGAUUUACUGGGUUUAAAGGGUGCGUAGGUGGGUCUGUAAGUCAGUGGUGAAAUCUCCGAGCUUAACUCGGAAACUGCCAUUGAUACUAUAGGUCUUGAAUUAUCUGGAGGUAAGCGGAAUAUGUCAUGUAGCGGUGAAAUGCUUAGAUAUGACAUAGAACACCAAUUGCGAAGGCAGCUUACUACGGAUACAUUGACACUGAGGCACGAAAGCGUGGGGAUCAAACAGG